UUGACUUAUUUAUAUAAUUACUCAGAUAUCACUAAAAUAUAGAGUUUAAAACCUCCGGCAGGCACCUGAAAACAGGCUACAGACCCGCCCUGGGCCUGCCUGCCGAAGCAACUUAGGUAUGUUCACAAAGGGUUGGGAGUUUUGCAACUCUGUAAUGAUCCCUCCGCUGGUUCACCAACGGAGA
Molecule: unclassified non-coding RNA, 184 nt
Filed under: uncultured fungus
Lineage: Eukaryota; Fungi
Description: sequence contains ITS1
Source: RNAcentral